RNAcentral lists this long non-coding RNA (1031 nucleotides) under Pan troglodytes (chimpanzee). Its description in RNAcentral is "lincRNA". The record is from RNAcentral. Lineage: Eukaryota; Metazoa; Chordata; Mammalia; Primates; Hominidae.
GUUUGGCGGGAUCUUUGUCUCUUCCUGGCGUUGGCACAGGAACUUGGGAUCCGUCUCCUCUUUCGCCUCCUCCACUUUGGGAGCCCCGGGCUACUCUUUCACAGCCCCUGUUGCCCUGUGAUCUGUACGUCCUUGGGGACGCACAGUUAAGAUGCCAGGACAUCCUGGAAGCUGGGAAAUGAUUUCUUCCAGACCAUGGCUGGAGAAGGAAAGAAGAUUUUUGCAGUGGCAGGACCAAGGUCAAAUGAGUUGUAGCCAAGUCUACAGUAAGAUGUGGUAGUAUUCUGUUUUGAAGCGAGGACCAUGAUUGGCAAGCUUGCCAUUUGGUCAAGUGCUUACCCUCUGAAGAUGUCUUCCUUGCUCUUUGCCUCCAGCUGGGUGUCACAAACUCAACUGGAUUCUAAGGCUUUCAUGAAUGCACUUAUGUUUCCUGUGGCAGCUGCAUUAUGUUGUGGGGGAUGUGCAUGCAGAACCUCCCAUUCUGUCGUCUUGCUUAUGUUACUCUCCUUUAUGUUUCACUUUCGCAAAUGAAUGUCAAGCUGGUGAUUUUUAGAUUCAAAAAUUCUAAAAUAAAUUGCUGAAAUUUCCACAUUAUGUAAGCAAUUAAUAAAAUGUCUUGUAGGUGCUACAUAUUUAUUAAAAUUUUUGGUUGUAAUUUUAAGCUCACUGCAGGCAGAAAGGAAUCAUUAACAUUUAUAUUCUUUUUUUUAGUCUGUAUCUAAAUGAUGGUAUAUUUUAAUUCCAGAUAUUUACUUUAUACUGCAGUAAUGCUCGUCAUAUUUUGCAAAAUUUAUGUUGUUCUUUUAUUUGGAAAUAUAAGGCUUUUUUAGCUCCUGAAAUCUAUAUUAUAGGCAUAUAAUUUUAUUAUAUUUUGUGGUAAGAAGUGCAGCAACAUAUUGAGAACAUAAUAAAAUUAUCCUGUCUUUUUAAUGAUUAUUUAUUAAAUUCUUCUCAUUAGAGCCUGUUAUUAAUGAUUGUAAUGUAUUUUCGGUAUAAUUUUACUGCAAUUUAUUAAAUUCUAAUGACUUAAU